ACGGCUAGGGGAGCAUUUGGCUGAGACAAUGCAUUUUAUGCAUGAACCCUCAUUACCUGAUCCGGUUAAUACCGGCGUAGGGAAGCAC
RNAcentral lists this non-coding RNA (88 nucleotides) under human gut metagenome. Its description in RNAcentral is "TPP riboswitch (THI element)". It matches the Rfam family "TPP riboswitch aptamer (THI element)", at positions 8 to 91 of the family's 105-position model. From Rfam's summary of the family: Vitamin B(1) in its active form thiamin pyrophosphate (TPP) is an essential coenzyme that is synthesised by coupling of pyrimidine and thiazole moieties in bacteria. The previously detected thiamin-regulatory element, thi box was extended, resulting in a new, highly conserved RNA secondary structure, the THI element, which is widely distributed in eubacteria and also occurs in some archaea. The record is from RNAcentral.